UAAGUUGUCUUAAUAGUAAUCAAUUCAAAUUGAUAAUUUGAGUUAAAAUUUAAGAUUAA
RNAcentral lists this transfer RNA (59 nucleotides) under Romanomermis iyengari. Its description in RNAcentral is "tRNA-Ile". The record is from RNAcentral. Lineage: Eukaryota; Metazoa; Nematoda; Enoplea; Mermithida; Mermithidae.